RNAcentral lists this ribosomal RNA (507 nucleotides) under uncultured bacterium. RNAcentral describes it as "bacterial SSU rRNA". It matches the Rfam family "Bacterial small subunit ribosomal RNA", at positions 28 to 521 of the family's 1533-position model. The record is from RNAcentral.
GAUGAACGCUAGCGACAGGCCUAACACAUGCAAGUCGAGGGGCAGCGAGGAUGUAGCAAUACAUUUGUCGGCGACCGGCGCACGGGUGAGUAACGCGUAUGCAACCUACCCGACACAGGGGGAUAACCCGGAGAAAUCCGGACUAAUACCGCAUAAAACAGGGGUCCCGCAUGGGAAUAUUUGUUAAAGAGUUAUCGGUGUCGGAUGGGCAUGCGUUCCAUUAGCUAGUUGGUGAGGUAACGGCUCACCAAGGCAACGAUGGAUAGGGGUUCUGAGAGGAAGGUCCCCCACACUGGUACUGAGACACGGACCAGACUCCUACGGGAGGCAGCAGUGAGGAAUAUUGGUCAAAUGGACGGAAGUCUGAACCAGCCAAGUCGCGUGAAGGAAGACGGUUCUAUGAAUUGUAAACUUCUUUUGUCGGGGAGUAAAGUCAGCUACGUGUAGCUGUUUGCAAGUACCCGUAAGAAAAAAGCAUCGGCUAAACUCCGUGCCAGCAGCCGCGGU